RNAcentral lists this ribosomal RNA (585 nucleotides) under uncultured bacterium. RNAcentral's name for it is "partial 16S ribosomal RNA". It matches the Rfam family "Bacterial small subunit ribosomal RNA", at positions 355 to 1375 of the family's 1533-position model. The record is from RNAcentral.
UGGGGAAUUUUGGACAAUGGGCGAAAGCCUGAUCCAGCAAUGCCGCGUGUGUGAAGAAGGCCUUCGGGUUGUAAAGCACUUUUGUCCGGAAAGAAACCCUUGGCUCUAAUACAGUCGGGGGAUGACGGUACCGGAAGAAUAAGCACCGGCUAACUACGUGCCAGCAGCCGCGGUAAUACGUAGGGUGCAAGCGUUAAUCGGAAUUACUGGGCGUAAAGCGUGCGCAGGCGGUUUGCUAAGACCGAUGUGAAAUCCCCGGGCUCAACCUGGGAACUGCAUUGGUGACUGGCAGGCUAGAGUAUGGCAGAGGGGGGUAGAAUUCCACGUGUAGCAGUGAAAUGCGUAGAGAUGUGGAGGAAUACCGAUGGCGAAGGCAGCCCCCUGGGCCAAUACUGACGCUCAUGCACGAAAGCGUGGGGAGCAAACAGGAUUAGAUACCCUGGUAGUCCACGCCCUAAACGAUGUCAACUAGUUGUUGGGGAUUCAUUUCCUUAGUAACGUAGCUAACGCGUGAAGUUGACCGCCUGGGGAGUACGGUCGCAAGAUUAAAACUUAAAGGAAUUGACGGGGUCAUAGCUGUUUCCU